This is an RNA transcript of Eucalyptus grandis, 6401 nucleotides long. It is a transcript of the gene named disease resistance protein RUN1, with no coding region annotated. NCBI's taxonomy places the organism in Eukaryota, Viridiplantae, Streptophyta, Magnoliopsida, Myrtales, Myrtaceae. The transcript has 11 exons. The record is from RefSeq and is a predicted model, not a curated record.
CCUCUUCCUCUUCAUUCUCCUCCUCCUCUUUCUCCUCCUCGUCGCCGAUCCAUCGCAACAGUGGCGGCCCUCGCCUCAGUUUUUGCUCUCUCUGGCCGUCUCUCAUCGUCGCGGUGGUCCGUUGCGUGGCUUCGUCUCGCCAACAAGAGUUUGCUUUCUCUCUUUUCUUUCUCUUUGUUCGGCUCUUUCUCUGGCCAUCUCUCGCCAUCGCUCAUGGCCUCGUCUUUGCUCCUCGCCCUCCCUCGCCUCCACCCUCCAUUGUCUUCCGGAUAUGUGUGUCGAAAUGUGUUGAGAAAAAUUGACCACGUGUCAAAAAAUUCGACACGCGUUGACCAUGUGUCAGUGUCAUGUUCGACACGUGUCGAGUCCAACCGUGUCCGAGCAUGUCGACGUGUCUGACAUUCUCCAAUAUGUGUUGGACACGACACGGAAGUUAGGGUAACGUGUCCAUGCUUCAUAGGUGUUAACUAUUACUCUGCAGAAAAGAAACUACUCAAAGGUUGGGGUUGCUAUUUCGAGGAAGUCAGCAAAGUUUUCUUGAGGAGUGAGCCUACAACAAGAUGCCAAGAAUCCACUUACCCAAAGUUUUUUCUCCACUACUUUUGUCGGCCACGAAGAAGCUUGUGUCAAUCAUAGAAUCAAAAUAAAGCCGUGGUGAAAAUAAGUCCACGUGUUCACACUUAUGACAUUUGUCCAUCGACGUGUUCACACCUACCCAGAAAAAAAAAUCACGCCUCUUUGUGCCAGUAUAAAAAUAAAUCAAUAAGAAGAUCUAAGAGUGAGCGACUACCUGAAAACACUACCAAAUCUUAAGCUAAUAGUCAUUGCUGAUUGUUAAACUCAAGAAUCUAAUGGCUUCUUCAACGACACCCAAUGGGAUUUAUGAUGUCUUCCUAAGUUUCAGAGGUACAGAUCUACGGAAUAACUUCAUUGGUCAUCUCUACAAUGCUCUAGAUCAGAACGGAGUAUUCACUUUCAUCGAUAGUGAGGAACUAAGGAAGGGAGAUCAAAUAUCACAAGCGCUUAUGAAGGCCAUUGAAGAGUCAUGCAUCGCAAUCAUCGUUUUCUCGGACGAUUAUGCUUCCUCUCGGUGGUGCUUGGAAGAGCUAGCGAAGAUUAUGGAAUGCAAGGAGCAAAAGGACCUGAUUGUUCUACCAGUGUUUUAUAAAGUGGACCCCAGAGAAGUUAGAGGGGGCAGAGAGAGUUAUGGGAGAGCUUUGGCCAAGCAUGAGUUCAAGUUUGGAAAGGAUUCGAAGGAAGUGAAGAGAUGGAAGAAAGCUCUUUUUGAUGCUGGUAACUUAUCUGGGUGGCAUCUAGGUGAUGGAGAUGAGUCAGAGCUUAUACAAAGGAUUGUAAAGGAGAUCUCCAUUCGCCUAGACCGAACACCUUUGCAUGUUGCUAAGCAUCCGGUUGGGAUAGAUUCUCGAGUGGUUAAGCUGAAAUCAAUGUUAAACCUUGAGUCUAAUGAUGACCCGAUCAUGUUGGGAUUAUGGGGACAAGGAGGCAUUGGGAAGACAACUUUAGCAAGAGCUCUAUACAAUGCUAUUUUUAGACAAUUUGAGAGUUCAUGUACUGGUUUCUCGGUGGAUUUGUUGGCCGCAUAUGGAGUUGCGGAGGCAGGCGCGUGGACUGCAAGGGCGUGGAAACUUCGGUCAACAAACGGUGGAGGAGAGGGCACCGUUGACUGGUGUGCUGGCGUGGAGAUUUCAUCUUCGGUGGAUGAUGGAGCUGCGCGCGAAGGAGACACGAGCUGGCAGCAAAAAUUCUUGGGUCUUCGGUGGCCGCGACUUCAAGUGGUCAACGAAGGAGCUCCUAUACUGAAAAUUCUGGAUGUCACAUCAUGUCUUUUGGCAAAUGUUCGAGAAGCUUCCAAAGAUUCUAGGGAUUUAGUUCAAUUGCAAGAAAAAUUACUAUAUGAGAUUUUAUCACUACGAAAAAGAUUAGUAGUGUCUAGUGUUGAUAGAGGUAUUAAUCUAAUACAGCAUAGACUUCGUCACAAGAAAGUUCUCCUUAUCCUUGAUGAUGUAGAUGACUUGCGUCAAUUAAAUGCUUUGGCGAGAAGAAGGCAAGUGGUUUGGUAAUGGAAGUAGGAUCAUUGUUACCACAAGAGAUAAACAUUUGCUAACUUGUCAUGGGAUUGAUCAAGAUCAUGUGUUCGAGGUUGAAGCACUUGAUGACAAUGAAGCUCGCAAGUUGCUUAGCAGUCAUGCUUUUCCGACACACCAAAAAUUAGAAAUCAGGACAGAUCUGGUGGAUAGGGUUCUACAUUAUGCUAAAGGCCUUCCGUUAGCACUUGAGUUGCUGGGUUCCUUCUUAUGUGGUAGAAAAGAAGAUGUAUGGGAAAGUACGCUACAAAAACUUUCUAGGAUUCCCAACAAAACCAUUAAUGAUGUGCUCAAAAUAAGUUAUAAUGGACUAGAGGAAAAUGAGAAAGAGAUUUUUCUCCACAUUGCCUGCUUCUUUAAGGGAAAGGAUAGCAACUACAUAAAGAAAGUUCUUGAUAGUUGCGAUUUUGAGACAACUGUAGGAUUUCAAAUUCUCAUUGAGAGGUCCUUGAUAAGCAUUGAAAACGGACCACUACAAAUGCAUGACUUGAUUCAAGCAAUGGGUAUAGAUAUUGUGAACCAAGAGUGUCGAGAUGAACCCAUGAGACGAAGUAGACUAUGGCUUUAUGAUGAUAUUCUCAAUGUUUUAUCAAACGACAUGGGAGACUGUAUUGUAAAAGCCAUAGUGCUGGAGUCACUUGAGCCGAUAGACAUAUGUAUCAAUCCUGAUGCUUUUACAAAAAUGAGAAGGUUGAGAUUGCUCAUUUUGCGCAAUGUGCAUAAUUCUUCCCAAAGUCCUAUAUGUAUUCCCAAUUGGCUAAGAUGGUUUGAAUGUCUUGGUGCUUCGUGGAUUCCAGAAUUUUCCUCUGGUCCAAAGAAAUUAGUGGGACUUAAUAUGAGCGAAGGCAAUAUCACAGGAGUUGUAAAACGAUUUAAGGACUUCCAAAAUUUGAAGUACAUUACUUUCAGUCACUGUGAGUCGUUGGUUUGUAUGCCCGACAUUCAAUGUACUCCUAAUCUUGAGCAAUUGAAUCUCAUGUAUUGCAAAAACUUGGUAGAGGCCCACGAGUCCAUUGCAUAUCAUGACAAGUUACAAGUGUUGAAUUUAUGUGAGUGUCCCGAACUUAGUGUUUUUCCAAAUGUGCUCAAGUAAAAAAACCUCCAAGUUCUCCACCUUGAAAAUUGCACAAAAUUUGAAAGGUUCCCUAAUAUUCCUCAUAAACUCGAAGGCUUGAAACAACUUCAUUUACAGGGGACCGCUAUUAAAGAACUUCCUUCAUCAAUAGAAAAUCUUGUCUCUUUGGAGAUUAUGUAUAUAUAUCAUUGCAAAAACCUAGUAACUCUUCCAUCUAGCAUUUAUAAGUUACAAAACCUUUCAAACUUGCAAGCCAACUCUUGCACAAAUUUAAUUGAGUUUCCAAAGUACGAGGAUUUAGCUGAUCACUGUAUGAAGACCGGACUUUCAAAUUUACGUUGGUUGGACCUUUACGGAUGUAAUUUGUCCGAAGUAAAGUUUCUUGAGAAUCUUUCCUGUUUUCCUUUCUUGGAAACUUUAUUGCUCGGGGGAAAUAAUAUAACUAUCCUUCCUACAUCCAUCAAUAAGCGUCAUCAUUUGCUCCAUUUGAGUGUUAGAGAAAGCCAUCAAUUACAAGAGAUUCCUGAGCUUCCACCAUUUUUGAAUUGUCUUUUGGCGGAUGGUUGCGAAUCUAUGCAAAAUGCUGGAGAUUUAACUUCAUUUCAUGAUUUUGUCCGUAGAGGGGUGACCAUGCCUGAUAUUUCCCCACUUUACCCGAGUCCUCUUCGUUACCCUCAUUACCUAAUUACUCUCCCUAGAAGAGAGAUGCCAAAGUGGGUCCUUCCCAUUGAAGGGGAUUCCGUAUCUUUCAUGGCUUCAAAGAAAUUGUACGACAAAUUUCUUGGAUUUGCUCUCUAUGUUGCUCUUGGUAAUGAUGAACAAAAAAAGGGACAGCCUUUUCAGCUUGUACCAUGUGUUAAUGGCGAAUGUCAGAAUUAUUGGGUACCACAUUACGAUACCUUUUUGUCGAAUUCGGACCGUAUCUGGCUUCAAUAUUUCACACCAUCUCAGCUCUGGGGAGUAGUCGAUUUUGGUCAAAUUGACAGGAGUUAUGUACAAUUUAGCCUAACCAUAUCAAGUCGAAUUGUGAAAAAAUGAGGAUUCCGAAUUAUAUGCGUGCAAUUAGAGGAAGAUUUAAAGAUUGUGCUUCGAGAUGAUCAGCUAAUGGAUCCAGCUUUACUCUAUGAGGUUGUUUUCGAAUCAACAGAUUCAGAAGCCAAGAUUUCACUUAUGCAUGAAGAUAGUUCGAUCGAAACAGAUCUACAGAAAGACUUGCAAGAUUGUCAAAUGUGUGCCGAGGAAAAAUGUCAAAUAGUACCAAAGAGAAAUUAUAAGCCUAUUGUCCCUCAAGGCAUGCAAACCAAGACUAUGUUGGCUUCCAAUUCGAUUGGCAGAGAUAAGAAUGGUAGUGUUGGCUUGCAGCUUUUGUUGUUAGAAUGAUCAAAACAUGCUAAAGAAGCAAUUCGUAGCAUCAUCACUGCUCAUCUUCCAUCCGACACCACCAAGCUUUGACCAAUGUAAGAUCGCCACCUACCAACGAAGGCAACAAACAGAAGUAUUUAGCCUUCUUGGAACAGAGUCCAUAGCAAACUGAUGGCGAUGAAGACUGGCGAUUUGAGGCGACAAUUCUCUGCAGGGUUCUGGGCUUCUUGCACCUUGCUAUAGAUGAGGCACGCAUGCACGAGGGAAUUUCUGACUCUUAUCAUCAUUUUUUUUUCUCCUAACAAGUAACGAGGCCUAUUUGCUUUUCUUAUACAAGGCAAAGCUUGCCUUGGACAGCGUUGAAGUUCCACUAGGGCCUACUGGGCCAGAAGCUUCUCAAGCUCAGCUAUUUACUUUUCUAGUUAGAGACCAACAUCUUGGGGCUAACGUGGGAUCCGCUCAAGGACCUACUCGUUUAGGUAAAUAACUAAUACGUUCCCCGACUGGAAAAGUAAUUUUUGGAGGGGAAACUAAGUGUUUUUGGGAUCUGCGUGCUCCUUGGUUAGACAAGUGAGAUAGAUGUGUAACUAACCUCUAAAACUAAGCCACGGCCCACCGAUGGAAGGGUCACAGAAGGUAACCAGUUAGCGAGGGGUGUUGGUAAGCGAAAUAGUGCCUUUGUUGGCCUAGAAAGAAUUCCCUCGAAAAGCACUGGUUAAAGGGCUAAGUGAAAUUCCCAAGAAAAGCAAGCGCUAUGGAAAGAAUAGCUUUGAAGCUACCUUUAUAAUGGGAUUCCAACUCAGCACCUUUUGAGAAAAAUUUCUCUUUAGAGAGCAUAGUACGAUGAAAGUUGGUUGCUGUAAUGGGCUUACUUCAUCAUAACAUGACCUUAUUUACACAUACAGUUUAAACCUGGAUUCUAGCAGAGAUCAUCGUUUAUCUAAUAGUCUAUUUCUGCAAUCAUUCAGGCAUGUGGUGAUAGUACACUACUAUGAAUGAUUUUAGGGGUAGUAAUGAGUAGAUGGCACGUAAAAAAUUUGGCCCUUUUAGUAUCUUGCGGAGUUUAAUAAAAAACAAAGGCACCUUGCUACAGGGUUAUGUGUAAUAAUACUAUUAGAAAAGGUGGAUGUGGCUUAUCCAAUAAGAAGCCUCUUUUUCUAUGUCGGAUUCUCAGCAACUUCAAGCAAGCAAAACUUGUUAACUUCAUGUGAUGUAUGCCUCGAUUAAUCGUAUAUAUACUCUCAAUCGGUUAACUUGAAGGGAAAGACUUCUUCCUUGAAAUGCAUCUCUUAAUUAUGUUGAAAAUACACUAAGAGCAGCUAUCUCCCUGACAAGGGUCCUUUGAUUUGCUUGCUUUGUUUUUCUCCUUGGGCUUUCAUGGGCAGCAAGACAUGCAAAGAUGGAAGCACUUUAUGUUCUUGAAUAGUGGCAGAGGACUGGAUUUUUGGCUGCAGAAGUUGCAAAGGAGUUUCCAGCAUGCUUCCUUUAUGUGACAUGUGAACCAUGCAUAAUGUGUGCUGCAGCAUUAUCGAUCAUAGAUAUAAAGGAAGUAUGUCAUGGCUGUGCAAACGACAAGUUUGGUGGCUGCGGCUCAAUACAGUCGUUAUUCAAGAAGCUCUGAGGCAUGCAUUAUGUCAAUUUCUGAACUUGCUCUUGUUGCCGAUUUUGUAUCUACAAAGAUCCACUUUGAAAUUGAGAAAUAUGACAAUUGACAGCUAUAGUUUACUGGAGGUUUAUAAUUCCUAAGGUUGAUUACCGAUGGGUGAGGUUUCCUAGUGAUUCUGGAUGUUGUGGUGCUUUAAAUAUUCCAACACAUAACCAUGAAAAUUAAUGGAGGUUAAUGGAAAUAAUUUUCCAUC